ACACGUAGGGGGCGAGCGUUGUCCGGAAUUACUGGGCGUAAAGGGUGCGUAGGUGGCCAAAUAAGUCAGUUGUGAAAUACCGAGGCUUAACUUCGGGGGUGCAAUUGAAACUGUAUGGCUUGAGUGCAGGAGAGGAAAGUGGAAUUCCUAGUGUAGCGGUGAAAUGCGUAGAGAUUAGGAGGAACACCAGUGGCGAAGGCGGCUUUCUGGACUGUAACUGACACUGAUGCACGAAAGCGUGGGUAGCGAACAGGAUUAGAUACCCUGGUAGUCCACGCCGUAAACGAUGGAUACUAGGUGUAGGAGGUAUCGACCCCUUCUGUGCCGUAGUUAACGCAAUAAGUAUCCCGCCUGGGGAGUACGUGCGCAAGCAUGAA
Molecule: ribosomal RNA, 377 nt
Filed under: uncultured bacterium
Lineage: Bacteria
Description: bacterial SSU rRNA
Rfam family: Bacterial small subunit ribosomal RNA
Source: RNAcentral